GUCACUGCAUCCCACUCCUCAUUCCUCCCUGUGAAGUCCCCUAGAGCUGUCCCUGCCCUGUCCCAGAGGGCCCACCCAGUGAUAGCCCUUUCCUUCCUUCUAGCCCCUCCUUCCUCCCCUCCAUCGACCCCCAUGUAUUCAGUAUCCCUCAGGAAAUGUCCAAAAUCUGCAGCAGAAAAAUAUAACUCAGAAAAGGGACAUUCUAACUUCAAACUUUCAAGUAGAAGCUCAGCAAGCUCCUGAACCCAGAGUGAGGAUGCCUUCCAGAGCUGGCUGCCACUGAGGCCCUGCCAGAAGGCAGUGAUGAGCCCAGGAGGCCUGCCCAGCAGCUGCAGGGAGGGGCGGAGGAGUGGGGCUGCAUCCGUGAGCAUCUGAGCCUCUAUUCUAAAACAUCUGCUAGCACUGGAUGCUGGGGUUACCAUGGUGACUGAAGACUCUGCCACCUGGUCCACCCCUGUUAUGACAACAGUGACCCCCAAUCUAAUGUUGCCAUCAAGGGUGGUAGCCCAGAUGUGCUGGAUGUGACUAGCAGGAACAAGGAGAAACGCAACCCUUAGUGGGGGGCUCCACUUUGCUAAGGGCUAGCUUAUGGUUUGGACAAGGGAAGCUGGCUCUGUGGUCCCCACCUUGCAACAGGGGCAGCAGGGACUGGGAGAAGAGAGUGUGGGGUCUGUUACCGAGCUCCUCUGAGAAACAGACACCAAGACUAAAUUGCAAGGGUUUUAGGAGGGAACAGACAUACAUGAAAAGAACAAGAAAAAACUGGGUAAGCCACUAGACCAUGAAGCAAGUGUGACCCCCAGUGUGGGGGAGAGAGGGGAAGAGGAUGGGUGGGACUGCUCAGGACUGUGUUCUAAGGAAAAUCCGUGGAGCCUUUAGGGAGUCUUGGAAACAGCCAGCAAAGAAGGUUUGGCUGUGCCAGCAACAAGUCAGCCUUAGCAUCCCCAGCACACUUGGUCAUCGGAGGAGGGCUGCCAUGGGAGCCCCGUACCAGGUGGACACAUGGGGGCAGCAGCCCUGCCUGGAGGAGGUCAGGCACAGAGUCCUAGGCACUGAGGUUGGAUGGAAGUGCAGCUGAGAGAACCCAGAGGUCCCUGGGGCCAAAGCCAGGACCAGAAGGAGAGCACACACAGGAAGAGCUAGAAGACCUCCUUGCUGAUGCUUGUAUAAGGGUUUCAGCCAAUGUUGGAACAAAAUCCAAAAUCAGGCCAAAAUACCCACCUGUCAUGACUGGAUCAAGCCAGCUGCACCUUUUACAACCACGUACAAGGCUCGCCACAACCUAUGGAUACCCACCUAACUACCUAGGGACAGAGAGCCACGAUCCUCAAUAGGCAGGGGCAAUGCCCAUGGCCAGCAGAAAGUAGCUACAGAAAGCUGAUCUUCAGCCCUUCUGCCUCCCAUAAAGAUUUAUGGGGAUCAUAUCUCUCAGGGGGAAAUGAGGCAGGAGAAUAGGGAAUUAGGGUAACCAGGGUUUCAGCUGGCACAGCCAGUGCCGCAGGGUUGGAAGAACAGCAGGUGCAGCCAGUUCAAAGGAGCAGAAGAACAGCAGGUGCAGCAUCUAGGCCACAUCCUUGCUCCCAUGACAACAAGCCACUUCAGCCUCUGAUUGGUCUCCGGCCAAUCCUUUAUGAGGUGUGGUCAACUGGAGGCCUCUGAAGGGCACCGAGGGAUGUUGCCGGGUUUUUUCUUUAAUAAAAACUGUAAUUGAGGGGGCUCUUGAGCAGCCGCUUGCUCAAGCCCAAUCCCACUCUGAAUUUUCUUCAAUAAAUCUGUGCCCACUCUGGCAUUUUGUUCAAUCCCUUGCCCAAUAUGCCAAGAAUAGCGGGUGUAGCAUACAGGCCACAUCCUGGCUGGACAACUCACAUUUAGGACACCCUCUCCGGCAACAGGGUGACAUCAUCCUCUUUCCUCAGCCUGUUAAAAUGUUGGUAUUAUGGGCGUGAGCUGCCCUGCCUGGCCUGGAACUUCAUUCUUUUUUUGCUGAAAAUUAUUCCCUUGUAUGCAUCUAUUACAUUGAGCCAUUCAUCAGCUGGUGGACAUUUGGACUGUUUCCACUUUUGUUUAUUAUGAAUAAAGCUGCUAUGAACACUUGUGUAAAGGUUUA
This is a non-coding RNA of Macaca mulatta (Rhesus monkey), 2107 nucleotides long. The record is from RefSeq and is a predicted model, not a curated record. Lineage: Eukaryota; Metazoa; Chordata; Mammalia; Primates; Cercopithecidae.